RNAcentral lists this ribosomal RNA (492 nucleotides) under uncultured bacterium. Its description in RNAcentral is "partial 16S ribosomal RNA". It matches the Rfam family "Bacterial small subunit ribosomal RNA", at positions 29 to 507 of the family's 1533-position model. The record is from RNAcentral.
AGUGAACGCUGGCGGCAGGCCUAAUACAUGCAAGUCGAACGGAAGCACAGUAAGAGUGUGCCCUUGAGGGUGGCGAGGGGCGGACGGGUGAGGCAUACAUCGGAAUCUACUUUUUCGGGGGGGAUAACGUAGGGACACUUACGCUAAUACCGCAUACGACCUACGGGUGAAAGCAGGAGUUCUUCGGACUUUGCGCGAUUGAAUUAGACGAUGUCGGAUUAGCUAGUUGGCGUGGUAAAGGCACACCAAGGCGACGAUCCGUAGCGGGGCUGAGAGGAUGAUCAGCCACACUGGAACUGAGACACGGUCCAGACUCCUACGGGAGGCAGCAGUGGGGAAUAUUCGACAAUGGGCGCAAGCCUGAUCCAGCCAUGCCGCGUGGGUGAAGAAGGCCUUCGGGUUGUAAAGCUCUUUUGUUGGGAAAGAAAAACAGCAGGUGAAUCCACCGCUGUUCUGACGGUACCCAAAGAAUAAGCACCGGCUAACUUCGUG